Molecule: transfer RNA, 67 nt
Filed under: bovine gut metagenome
Rfam family: tRNA
About the family: Transfer RNA (tRNA) molecules are approximately 80 nucleotides in length.
Source: RNAcentral
AGGCAUAGUUCAAUGGUAGAACGCGAGCUUCCCAAGCUUGUGAUGCGGGUUCGAUUCCCGUUGCCUG